This 253-nucleotide ribosomal RNA is filed under the name uncultured bacterium. RNAcentral describes it as "partial 16S ribosomal RNA". It matches the Rfam family "Bacterial small subunit ribosomal RNA", at positions 524 to 776 of the family's 1533-position model. The record is from RNAcentral.
UACGGGGGGGGCAAGCGUUGUUCGGAAUUACUGGGCGUAAAGGGCUCGUAGGCGGCCAACUAGGUCAGACGUGAAAUCCCUCAGCUUAACUGGGGAACUGCGUCCGAUACUGGAUGGCUUGGAUUUGGGAGAGGGAUGCGGAAUUCCAGGUGUAGCGGUGAAAUGCGUAGAUAUCUGGAGGAACACCGGUGGCGAAGGCGGCAUCCUGGACCAAUAUUGACGCUGAGGAGCGAAAGCCAGGGGAGCAAACGGG